GUCUUCCUCCUGGUAACUCCUCGUGCCUCCUGUCCAUUUUGCCAUUUGAUGGACUUUAUUUUCAUGUGUGCAGGUGCUGUGAAUCGUAGAGAUCCCAAUCGUGACUCAUCCCUGCUCCUCUCCUCUGCUCCCUGGACAUUUCACCCCUCAGAAG
This is a long non-coding RNA of Cheilinus undulatus (humphead wrasse), 154 nucleotides long. RefSeq lists it as uncharacterized. Lineage: Eukaryota; Metazoa; Chordata; Actinopteri; Labriformes; Labridae. The transcript has 2 exons. The record is from RefSeq and is a predicted model, not a curated record.